AAUAUGUAGUAAAACGUACAUAGGUAACAUGGACAUUAAUAAGUGCUAAUCAUAAAGGAUUAAUUAUUAAUGAUGAUAUUUGUACAAUUUCUCUGGUUUUUACUAUUGAUACCUAGAAAGGAAGCGGUGUAUGUCGGAAAGACGAAUAUUUAUAUGAGAUACAAAAUAGUUAAUUUGGAUAAAGAACUCACAUUUGACGCUAUUAUGAAUGUACGUAGAAUCCAACACUUCAUUGAGGCGUAUACUGAUGAUGAUGGCUUCUUCUUGGGACGAUUGGUAUAUAAAAUUCGUACUAAAUAUACAAGAAUGGUACGAUUAUACAUGCUGUCGUAUCACAACUUUGAAGACUAUCACCACAAUAAGCACAUUUUUCAUUUAAUGGAAAUUCAACACAUAUCCAUGGAGGUCGAUAGUUUAGUUGAAGUAAUAUUAAAUUUCUUAUGGCCGGGAAAACCAAAACGGCGGCCAAUUGAUAAGCGCCAACGACCUGGGGUUAAAUUACCAAAAAGCGUACCAAACAAAUUAAUUGGCGCACGCAAUGGCAGAGUACUUACAACUCGUGGAAAAUCUGUACUAUUUCAAGGUAAUCAUAAAAACUAUGAUCAAGCCAUUGUGAAACUUAACAUAGCUGGAAAAGAUCGUGUCGAUUGGAGGAAUACUGAAAAUAAUGGUGGUGGAUUUGAGUCCGAAGUCUACUAAUAUACAAUUAUGUACAUCGCGUCAUUAUUAUAAUUUACAUGUGCAUAGAAUAUUGGUGAUAAUAGAAUAAAUCUCUACACUAUCUGUUUUAAUUUUGAACUUCUAGAUACAAGGAGCACAAUAUUUGAUGACGGAUUUAUAACUAUGUAUAUAAAAUACGA
Pieris rapae (cabbage white) is the source of this 860-nucleotide long non-coding RNA. RefSeq lists it as uncharacterized. The record is from RefSeq and is a predicted model, not a curated record. The transcript has 3 exons. Lineage: Eukaryota; Metazoa; Arthropoda; Insecta; Lepidoptera; Pieridae.